This 432-nucleotide ribosomal RNA is filed under the name uncultured bacterium. RNAcentral describes it as "bacterial SSU rRNA". It matches the Rfam family "Bacterial small subunit ribosomal RNA", at positions 30 to 506 of the family's 1533-position model. The record is from RNAcentral.
CGAACGCUGGCGGCAGGCCUAACACAUGCAAGUCGAACGCUCGUAGCAAUACGAGAGUGGCAGACGGGUGAGUAACACGUGGGAACCUUCCCUAUGGUUCGGAAUAGCUCAGGGAAACUUGAGGUAAUACCGGAUAAGCCCUUACGGGGAAAGAUUUAUCGCCAUUGGAUGGGCCCGCGUCGGAUUAGCUAGUUGGUGAGGUAACGGCUCACCAAGGCGACGAUCCGUAGCUGGUCUGAGAGGAUGAUCAGCCACACUGGGACUGAGACACGGCCCAGACUCCUACGGGAGGCAGCAGUGGGGAAUAUUGGACAAUGGGCGCAAGCCUGAUCCAGCCAUGCCGCGUGAGUGACGAAGGCCUUAGGGUUGUAAAGCUCUUUUGGCGGGGAAGAUAAUGACGGUACCCGCAGAAUAAGCUCCGGCUAACUUCGU